CGCACAUUGCGCCCUUUGGUAUUCCGAAGGGCAUGCCUGUUCGAGCGUCAUUAUCACCCCUCAAGCCUGGCUUGGUGUUGGAUGUUUGUCUACGUAACAAUAGACUCGUCCCAAAGACAAUGACGGCGUCUGUAGGACCCUCGAUACACUGAGCUUUAACCAGCACGUGUCGAGUCUAAGGUCUUAUAGGCCCGGUCACACCUAUAUUUUUUACAAGGUUGACCUCGGAUCAGGUAGGAAUACCCGCUGAACUUAA
Molecule: unclassified non-coding RNA, 256 nt
Filed under: Exophiala sp.
Lineage: Eukaryota; Fungi; Ascomycota; Eurotiomycetes; Chaetothyriales; Herpotrichiellaceae
Description: partial contains 5.8S ribosomal RNA, internal transcribed spacer 2, and large subunit ribosomal RNA
Source: RNAcentral